Molecule: ribosomal RNA, 446 nt
Filed under: uncultured bacterium
Lineage: Bacteria
Description: partial 16S ribosomal RNA
Rfam family: Bacterial small subunit ribosomal RNA
Source: RNAcentral
CCUACGGGAGGCAGCAGUCGAGAAUCAUUCACAAUGGGGGAAACCCUGAUGGUGCGACGCCGCGUGGGGGAAUGAAGGUCUUCGGAUUGUAAACCCCUGUCAUGUGGGAGCAAAUUAAAAAGAUAGUACCACAAGAGGAAGAGAAGGCUAACGCUGUGCCAGCAGCCGCGGUAAUACAGAGGUCUCAAGCGUUGUUCGGAAUCACUGGGCGUAAGGCGUGCGUAGGCUGUUUCGUAAGUCGUGUGUGAAAGGCGCGGGCUCAACCCGCGGACGGCACAUGAUACUGCGAGACUAGAGUAAUGGAGGGGGAACCGGAAUGCUCGGUGUAGCAGUGAAAUGCGUAGAUAUCGAGAGGAACACUCGUGGCGAAGGCGGGUUCCUGGACAUUAACUGACGCUGAGGCACGAAGGCCAGGGGAGCGAAAGGGAUUAGAUACCCGAGUAGUC